RNAcentral lists this transfer RNA (76 nucleotides) under Sediminibacterium ginsengisoli. RNAcentral's name for it is "Solibius ginsengiterrae tRNA". It matches the Rfam family "tRNA". Rfam says of the family: Transfer RNA (tRNA) molecules are approximately 80 nucleotides in length. Their secondary structure includes four short double-helical elements and three loops (D, anti-codon, and T loops). The record is from Rfam by way of RNAcentral. Lineage: Bacteria; Pseudomonadati; Bacteroidota; Chitinophagia; Chitinophagales; Chitinophagaceae.
GGGGGGCUCGUCUAACUUGCGGUGAGGACGGCCGACUUAUAAUCGGUUAAUACGGGUUCAAUCCCCGUACCCUCCA